Molecule: ribosomal RNA, 497 nt
Filed under: uncultured bacterium
Lineage: Bacteria
Description: partial 16S ribosomal RNA
Rfam family: Bacterial small subunit ribosomal RNA
Source: RNAcentral
GAUGAACGCUGGCGGCGUGCCUAAUACAUGCAAGUCGAGCGAACGGACGAGAAGCUUGCUUCUCUGAUGUUAGUGGCGGACGGGUGAGUAACACGUGGAUAACCUACCUAUAAGACUGGGAUAACUUCGGGAAACCGGAGCUAAUACCGGAUAAUAUUUUGAACCGCAUGGUUCAAAAGUGAAAGACGGUCUUGCUGUCACUUAUAGAUGGAUCCGCGCUGCAUUAGCUAGUUGGUAAGGUAACGGCUUACCAAGGCAACGAUGCAUAGCCGACCUGAGAGGGUGAUCGGCCACACUGGAACUGAGACACGGUCCAGACUCCUACGGGAGGCAGCAGUAGGGAAUCUUCCGCAAUGGGCGAAAGCCUGACGGAGCAACGCCGCGUGAGUGAUGAAGGUCUUCGGAUCGUAAAACUCUGUUAUUAGGGAAGAACAAAUGUGUAAGUAACUAUGCACGUCUUGACGGUACCUAAUCAGAAAGCCACGGCUAACUACGUG